RNAcentral lists this microRNA (23 nucleotides) under Acyrthosiphon pisum (pea aphid). RNAcentral describes it as "api-miR-3031". Lineage: Eukaryota; Metazoa; Arthropoda; Insecta; Hemiptera; Aphididae. The record is from miRBase by way of RNAcentral.
UUGCUUUUUAACAAGUUUCACUA